UACGGGGGGGGCAAGCGUUGUUCGGAAUUACUGGGCGUAAAGCGCGUGUAGGCGGUUGUCCAAGUCGGGUGUGAAAGCCUUGAGCUCAACUCAAGAAAUGCACUCGAUACUGGGCGACUCGAGUGCCGGAGAGGAUAGUGGAAUUCCCAGUGUAGUGGUGAAAUACGUAGAGAUUGGGAAGAACACCAGUGGCGAAGGCGGCUAUCUGGACGGUUACUGACGCUAAGACGCGAAAGCGUGGGAGCAAAUAGGAUAGAAACCCUGUAC
RNAcentral lists this ribosomal RNA (267 nucleotides) under uncultured bacterium. RNAcentral describes it as "partial 16S ribosomal RNA". It matches the Rfam family "Bacterial small subunit ribosomal RNA", at positions 524 to 792 of the family's 1533-position model. The record is from RNAcentral.